RNAcentral lists this small RNA (535 nucleotides) under Pan troglodytes (chimpanzee). RNAcentral describes it as "retained intron". The record is from RNAcentral. Lineage: Eukaryota; Metazoa; Chordata; Mammalia; Primates; Hominidae.
GAUUUCGUCCUGGGAUGCGGAAGUAGCAGUCCUGUCAUGCGGAAGUAGCAGUCCGGUCCUAGGGACUAGCAGGCACCAAGAAACUGAUAAUGUUCCUUUGAAUUGGCUUCUGUAUUUGCUUCAUCAAUGUCUCUCAUACUGAAUAUCUUAAGAGAGAUGCUGGAAUAUUUUGGCGUUCCUGUAGAACAGGUAAAUGUCGUUUUGGAUUGGAAUGGAUCUGUUGUAUUUGUUCUUGGGUUUCAUUUUGAAAAUGACUUAUAUGUAAUCAUUUGAUUUAAGGCAAAAUUGUUGCUUCUUUUUAGUUGGAACAAAGGUGAGUUUGUAAUAGUAUAGCUUUGAUGGUUUGAGUUAGAAGAGGGAUAAGAUUAUUGAGAACAUAUUUACCUGAUAGGACAAAUGCCAACAGAAGAUACAAAGGAAGCAAAAUAUAGACAUGACCUUCACAGAAUUACAUUUAUUGCACAGAUACAUUAAAACUUCUAUUCAAGGUAAUUUAUAAACAAGUUCAAUAUUUAAAGCUCAAUAAAUCCAGAAU